RNAcentral lists this ribosomal RNA (475 nucleotides) under uncultured bacterium. Its description in RNAcentral is "partial 16S ribosomal RNA". It matches the Rfam family "Bacterial small subunit ribosomal RNA", at positions 28 to 523 of the family's 1533-position model. The record is from RNAcentral.
GACGAACGCUGGCGGCGUGCUUAACACAUGCAAGUCGAGCGAUGAAGCUUCUUCGGAAGUGGAUUAGCGGCGGACGGGUGAGUAACACGUGGGCAACCUGCCUUGUAGAGGGGGAUAGCCUUCCGAAAGGAAGAUUAAUACCGCAUAACAUAGCGAACUCGCCUGGGUUUGCUAUCAAAGAUUUAUCGCUACAAGAUGGGCCCGCGUCGCAUUAGCUAGUUGGUGAGGUAACGGCUCACCAAGGCCACGAUGCGUAGCCGACCUGAGAGGGUGAUGGGCCACAUUGGACCUAAGACACGGUCCAGACGCCUACGGGAGGCAGCAGUGGGAAUAUUGCACAAGGGGCGAAAGCCUGAUGCAGCAACGCCGCGUGAGUGAUGAAGGUCUUCGGAUUGUAAAGCUCUUUGAUUAGGGACGAUAAUGACGGUACCUAAAGAACAAGCCACGGCUAACUACGUGCCAGCCGCCGCGGUAA